AGAAAAUAGAAAUUAUGUGAAUCGUGAUGAAACAAAUAAGUUUGUUAAUAAAAUUGAUAAUGAUAUUACAAAAAGUAAAAAUGAUGAAGAAAUUGUUAAACACGCUUCUUUUAACGUAUUUGGUAAGGUAAAUAAAGAAAAAGAAAGUGAACCAUUCACUUUUUUUUCUAGCAAUUAUAUGGAGAACAUGAAUCAAACAACGAACAAACAAUUACAUAAGAGUUGUGACGUUUCAAAUGUGAAAAUAGAAAACAGACAAGAGAAAAGAAAUUGUGAUGAUACAUCUUUUAGUGAUAGUAGUAACGGAAGUAACUGCACUAGUUGGUGUAAUAUUAAUGUUGAGAAUACAAGCUCUGAUCUAUAUAACUGCACUAACAGUGGAACAGACAGCACGAGUGAUUAUUUUGCGAAUAUGAAGUAUCAAAACUCUUUUUCUAUUGACUAUAGUUUAAGAAAAAAAAAAAAGAAAAGAAUAAAAAUAAGGUGUUUAUUUUUUAAGAAAUAUAAAAAUGUAAAAAUGGCUUUGAAACCAGAUGAUACUAUAACAUGUAGAAUAUACACAACGAAUAGAACACUUAGAAAACAUAAAACAAACAAAACUUUGAGGUAUUAUAAAAUAAUGAUAAAAGAACAUAACAACAUUUACAAUAAAAUAAACAAUAAUGUGAACUACGUAAAUUAUUGUAACAGAAGUAUUAAUGACUUAGUCCGUGAUAAUAUCCCUGAAUUAGGCUACAGUAAGGACAAAUAUAAUAACGUGAAUGUCUUGAAGUUUUGUAAAAAAAAAAAAAAUAAUAAAAAUGAUAUUACUAAUAAUUUAUUAUUAUUAUUUGGAUGCAAAAAAAAAGUGUUGUUUAUCUAUAAAUAUAUUAUAAAUUGUCUAAAAAAAAAAAAUAAAAAAAAAAAAAUUAAUUGUAUAUAUGAAUGGAGCAAAGAACAUGUCCUUAUAUUGUUGUAUUUGUUUAAACUGGAGAAAUAUAUAUCAAGUUUUAAUUAUAAUAAUAUAAAUGGUUUACUUUUUUUUAUUAUAGAUAAUAGAAAGUUUUUAAAGGAAUUUGGAAUAUAUAACAACUAUGAAAUUUUUUUUUUUUUAAAUUUCAUUAACACUUUUGUUAAUAUACAUAAUAUAUAUAUACAAAUAUUACUAAAAUGGAAUAAUAUAUAUAAAGAUUUUUUAUUUACAUAUGCUUUAGUUAAAUACAAACAUUUAUAUUUUAUUAAAAAAAUCGAAAAUUAUUGUUUGCACAGAUUCUAUUUUUGUUAUUUCUUAAAUUCCCCGGUUUGUUUAAAGCUUUAUUCAACAAAUAAUACAUACAAUACAUUGUAUAAACGUAAAAAUAACUCUGUUCAUGUAAAACAGGAAAAAUAUAAUAAAAUAGCAUUAACACAUAGUAACAAAAAUGAUAAAAAAAAAACAAUAAAGGAUAUAAAAAAUAAACAUAGUAAUACAGAGGAAGAAGUAAAGGCAAAAGCUAAAGUAAAAAAUGAUAAUGGUAAAGGCGAAAAAGACGCUUUUUUAAAAAAAAAAAAAACAAAUGUACAUAUUAUAAUAAACAAUCAGAAAAAAUAUACCAACUUGGAAAGGUUAAACACUAACAUACGCAACGAUAAUGUAUGUGGUAAUAAAGAGUUAGCACAAAUUGAUGAACAUACAGAAAAAAAAACAGAGCAACUACCUACUAAUUUUAACGAACUCGAUAGAGACAGCAAAUUUCAAAAUAACUUUUUAAACAAUGCUUAUAAUAUAUUUUUCAAUGAAAAAUUAAAAAAUAAUUUGUUAAUC
RNAcentral lists this long non-coding RNA (1783 nucleotides) under Piliocolobus tephrosceles (Ugandan red Colobus). RNAcentral describes it as "lncRNA (ENSPTEG00000013475.1)". Lineage: Eukaryota; Metazoa; Chordata; Mammalia; Primates; Cercopithecidae. The record is from RNAcentral.